This 50-nucleotide ribosomal RNA is filed under the name Holocryphia eucalypti. Its description in RNAcentral is "partial 28S ribosomal RNA". The record is from RNAcentral. Lineage: Eukaryota; Fungi; Ascomycota; Sordariomycetes; Diaporthales; Cryphonectriaceae.
UUGACCUCGGAUCAGGUAGAAAUACCCGCUGAACUUAAGCAUAUCAAUAA